GAGUUUGAUCAUGGCUCAGGACGCACUCUGGCGGCGUGCUUAACACAUGCAAGUCGAACGGUAAGGCCCUUCGGGGUACACGAGUGGCGAACGGGUGAGUAACGCGUGAGUAACCUGCCCUUCACUCUGGGAUAACAGUUGGAAACGGCUGCUAAUACCGGAUAUUCAGCUCCUGUCGCAUGGUGGGGGUUGGAAAGUUUUGGUGGUGGAGGAUGGGCUCGCGUCCUAUCAGCUUGUUGGUGGGGUGAUGGCCUACCAAGGCGUCGACGGGUAGCCGGCCUGAGAGGGCGACCGGCCACAUUGGGACUGAGAUACGGCCCAAACUCCUACGGGAGGCAGCAGUGGGGAAUAUUGCACAAUGGGCGGAAGCCUGAUGCAGCAACGCCGCGUGCGGGAUGACGGCCUUCGGGUUGUAAACCGCUUUCAGCAGGGACGAAGCGUGAGUGACGGUACCUGCAGAAGAAGCACCGGCUAACUACGUGCCAGCAGCCGCGGUGAUACGUAGGGUGCGAGCGUUGUCCGGAUUUAUUGGGCGUAAAGAGCUUGUAGGCGGUUGGUUGCGUCGAAAGUGCNAACUCAGGGCUUAACUCUGAGCCUGCUUUCGAUACGGGCUGACUGGAGGAAGGUAGGGGAGAAUGGAAUUCCCGGUGGAGCGGUGGAAUGCGCAGAUAUCGGGAGGAACACCAGUGGCGAAGGCGGUUCUCUGGACCUUUUCUGACGCUGAGAAGCGAAAGCGUGGGGAGCAAACAGGCUUAGAUACCCUGGUAGUCCACGCUGGUAACGGUGGGUACUAGGUGUGGGGGACAUUCCACGUUCUCUGUGCCGUAGCUAACGCAUUUAGUACCCCGCCUGGGGAGUACGGCGGCAAGGUUAAAAUUCAAAGGAAUUGACGGGGCCCCGCCCAAGCGGCGGAGCAUGCGGAUUAAUUCGAUGCAACGCGAAGACCCUUACCUGGGUUUGACAUAUAUCGGAAACGUUCAGAGAUGGGCGCCCCGUAAGGUCGGUAUACAGGUGGUGCAUGGCUGUCGUCAGCUCGUGUCGUGAGAUGUUGGGUUAAGUCCCGCAACGAGCGCAACCCU
This 1079-nucleotide ribosomal RNA is filed under the name uncultured bacterium. Its description in RNAcentral is "bacterial SSU rRNA". It matches the Rfam family "Bacterial small subunit ribosomal RNA", at positions 9 to 1105 of the family's 1533-position model. The record is from RNAcentral.